UUUUUUGAGAAUUUGAUCCUGGUUCAGGACGAACGCUGGCGGCGUGCCUUAAGCAUGCAAGUCGAACGGGAAAGGCCGCAAGGCCAAUCCAGUGGCAGACGGGUGAGUAAUAGGUAGGAAUCUACCUCUUGAUGGGGAAUAGCUGGCCGAAAGGCCAAUUAAUACCGCAUAACAUUGUAAGAUAAAAGACCGUAACUGGUCGUCGAGAGAGGAGCCUGCUUACCAUCAGCUAGUUGGUGAGGUAAAAGCCCACCAAGGCUACGACGGUUAGGGGAUGUGAGAGCAUGAUCCCCCACAAGGUUACUGAGACACGGAACCUACACCUACGGGUGGCAGCAACUGGGAAUAUUGCGCAAUGGGCGAAAGCCUGACGCAGCGACGCCGCGUGCGGGAUGAAGGCCUUCGGGUCGUAAACCGCUGUGGAGAGGGAAGAAUUUUGACGGUACCUCUCUAGAAAGCAUCUGCUAACUACGUGCCAGAAGCCUCGGUAAUACGUAGGAUGCAAGCGUUGUCCGGAUUUACUGGGCGUAAAGAGUAUCGUAGGCGGUAAUUUAAGUGGCGGGUUAAAGACCACGGCUCAACCGGGGGAAUGCUCGUCAAACUGAAUUACUAGAGUUAGUUUGGGGAUAUUGGAAUUCUUGGUGGAGGGGUGAAAUCCGUUGAUAUCAAGAAGAACGCCAUUGGUGAAGACAAAUAUCUAAAACUCGACUGACGCUGAUGAACGAAAGCUAGGGGAGCGAACCGGAUUAGAGACCCGGGUAGUCCUAGCCGUAAACUUUGGAUACUAGCUGGUUGAAUGUAUUUUUGACUGGCGAAGCUAACGCAUUAAGUAUCCCGCCUGGGGAGUACGACCGCAAGGUUAAAACUCAAAGGAAUUGACGGGGAAACGCACAACCGGCGUCCCAUGUGGUUUAAUUCGAGACGAAACGAAGAACCUUACCUAGAUUUGACAUCCCGAUCGUAUCUUCUGGAAACAGAGGAGUCAGUUCGGCUGGAUCGGUGACAGCUGCUGCAUGGUUGUCGUCAGUUCGUGUCGUGAGGCGUCCAUUUAAGUAUGGUAACGAACGCAACCCCUGCUGUAUGUUGUAUUUCAUACGGGACUGCCUUGGUUUAACCAGGGAGGAAGGAGGGGACGACGUCAAAUCAGCAUGGUGCUUAUAUCUAGGGCUACACACAUGGGGUAAUGGGAAACACAACGGGUCGCGAAAGAGCAAUCUGGAGCUAAUCCUAAUAAAAUUUCCCUCAGUUCGGAUCGUGGGCUGCAACUCGCCCGCGUGAAGGGGAGUCGGUAGUAAUCGCAGGUCAGCUAUACUGCGGUGAAUACGUUCUCGUUUCUUGUACACACCGCCCGUCAAGUCAACAAAGUCAGCAGUGCCCGAAGUGGAUUCCCCCAACCGCAAGGAGGGGGGCCCCUAAGGUAAGGUUGGCGAUGGGGGCUAAGUCGUAACAAGGUAGCCGUUCUGGAAGGAGCGGCUGGAUCACCUCCUUU
This is a non-coding RNA of Candidatus Collierbacteria bacterium, 1489 nucleotides long. The record is from Rfam. Lineage: Bacteria; Candidatus Collieribacteriota.